AUUUAAAUAGCUUAUAUAUGUAGAGUAUAGUAUUGAAGAUACUAAGGAAAUUAUUAAAAUUUUUAAAUA
RNAcentral lists this transfer RNA (69 nucleotides) under Loxocera planivena. RNAcentral describes it as "tRNA-Phe". The record is from RNAcentral. Lineage: Eukaryota; Metazoa; Arthropoda; Insecta; Diptera; Psilidae.